UACGUAGGGGGCAAGCGUUGUCCGGAAUCAUUGGGCGUAAGGAGCGUGUAGGCGGCCAGAUAAGUCCGCUGUGAAAACUCGAGGCUCAACUUCGAGCUGUCGGUGGAAACUAUUUGGCUAGAGUCCGGAAGAGGAGAGUGGAAUUCCUGGUGUAGCGGUGAAAUGCGCAGAUAUCAGGAGGAACACCGAUGGCGAAGGCAGGUCUCUGGGCCACUACUGACGCUGAGAAGCGAAAGCAUGGGGAGCGAACAGG
Molecule: ribosomal RNA, 253 nt
Filed under: uncultured bacterium
Lineage: Bacteria
Description: partial 16S ribosomal RNA
Rfam family: Bacterial small subunit ribosomal RNA
Source: RNAcentral